This 146-nucleotide small RNA is filed under the name uncultured Phytobacter sp. RNAcentral's name for it is "Short Intergenic Abundant RNA". It matches the Rfam family "Short Intergenic Abundant RNA". From Rfam's summary of the family: This family contains multiple ncRNA from E. coli that were identified in a large scale screen of E. coli, were they were called candidates 43,55 and 61. These RNAs have also been identified by other groups and called QUAD RNAs. The record is from RNAcentral. Lineage: Bacteria; Pseudomonadati; Pseudomonadota; Gammaproteobacteria; Enterobacterales; Enterobacteriaceae.
UUGACUUCGCUUGUUUUUCAACCUAAGUUAGAGGAAUAAGGGUAAGGGAAGAUUUCUCCCCCCUCUGGUGUCUUAGUAAGCUGGCGAGCUAAACACUAAGAGAAUCACCAGUAUGAUGACCAAUCUCAUCAUAACCCUUUCCUUUU